GCCUCUUCCCAUCCAAAUAUGGACAGAAUAAACACAGCAAGCCCACGAAACUCUGCUGCUCUGCUCAGAGCACACAGCAGCUACCCAGUACACUCAUGAAAAAAUUCAGAUAUCUCACCUCUCUAUAGGAAUUUUUAUCUACAGUUCCCAGCCUGCUGCAUAAAGGAGGGAAGAGCAGUGUGUCUGUUUUUCUGAAGAGGAGGUGGGAUGAAUAAAAGGAAUUUCCUUUAAGCUCAAGAUUUAAACUGAGCUAACAGAUUUUGUCAAGCGAUCGGUGCCAUACUUUGGACAAGAAGAUGCUUAAAUGGAAAAGAACAGACAGUUCAGCCCACCAAAUGCUCUGAGUGAGGCAGUGGGGUAGCUUCCUGGAGGAACUUGUUCUUGCUAUAGGCACAUCUACAAAAUUAAACUGCUCAGAAACAGGGAACUGUGGGCUUUGAGUGCUUGUCUUUGGUGCUGAGCAUAUGUAAAAUACUGAGACUGCUGGACAUUGAACUUUUUUGAUUUACCCAAAGGGAAUUUCUGGAGAAGAUGAUGGAAGUGUCUCCCUGACCUCUCCUUGGGCUCCUCAGAUGCCUGGCUCGAGCCAAAGGUGACCUGUCACUGCUUUCAGGCAGGAUCCAUCCUCUGGGCUGCAGAACAGCGUGUGCUCCUCCUGGCCCAGCAGCAGUAAGGCAGCCCUGGGACACUGCAGAAGGUGAGGGCACACAGGAGAUCGGGGAUGGGCGGUGGAGCCCCAGGAAUGCUG
RNAcentral lists this long non-coding RNA (748 nucleotides) under Zonotrichia albicollis (white-throated sparrow). Its description in RNAcentral is "lncRNA (ENSZALG00000012045.1)". Lineage: Eukaryota; Metazoa; Chordata; Aves; Passeriformes; Passerellidae. The record is from RNAcentral.